GCAAGACCAAAGAGGGGGACCUUCGGGCCUCUUGCCAUCAGAUGUGCCCAGAUGGGAUUAGCUAGUAGUGGGGUAACGGCUCACCUAGCGAAGAUCCCUAGCUGGUCUGAGAGGAUGACCAGCAACUGGAACUGAGACACGGUCCAGACUCCUACGGGAGGCAGCAGUGGGGAAUAUUUGCACAAUGGGCGCAAGCCUGAUGCAGCCAUGCCGCGUGUAUGAAGAAGGCCUUCGGGUUGUAAAGUACUUUCAGCGGGGAGGAAGGUGUUGUGGUUAAUAACCACAGCAAUUGACGUUACCCGCAGAAGAAGCACCGGUAACUCCGUGCCAGCAGCCGGGUAAUACGGAGGGUGCAAGCGUUAAUCCGGAAUUACUGGGGCGUAAAGCGCAACGCAAGGCGGGCCUGGUCAAGUCCGGAUUGUGAAAUCCCCCGGGGCUUCAACUGGGAACUGCAUUCCGAAAAUUGGGAAGGCUAAGUCUUGGUAAAGGGGGGGUAAAAAUUCCCAGGGUGUAACCGGUGAAAAUGGUAAAAUUCUCGAGGAUUACCCGGGUGGCAAAGCGGCCCCCUUGGGCAAAGAACUGGAAGCCUCAAGGUUGCGA
RNAcentral lists this ribosomal RNA (600 nucleotides) under uncultured bacterium. Its description in RNAcentral is "bacterial SSU rRNA". It matches the Rfam family "Bacterial small subunit ribosomal RNA", at positions 195 to 756 of the family's 1533-position model. The record is from RNAcentral.